Molecule: ribosomal RNA, 1496 nt
Filed under: Candidatus Uhrbacteria bacterium
Lineage: Bacteria; Candidatus Uhriibacteriota
Description: bacterial SSU rRNA
Rfam family: Bacterial small subunit ribosomal RNA
Source: RNAcentral
AGAGUUUGAUCCUGGCUCAGGGUGAACGCUGGCGGCGUGUCUAAGGCAUGCAAGUCGAGCGGGUUUCGGUCGCAAGAUCGGAAUCAGCGGCAAACGGGUGCGUAACACCUUGGCAACCUACCCCCGAGACGGGCAUAACUUUCCGAAAGGAGAGCUAAUUCCCGAUGAAGUUCGCCAUCUCCUGAUGUGCGAAUAAAACAGCCCGCAAGGGUCGCUUGGGGAGGGGCCUAGGUCCUAUCAGCUAGUUGGUGAGGUAACGGCUCACCAAGGCGAAGACGGGUAGCUGGUCUGAGAGGACGACCAGCCUCAGGGGAACUGAGACACUGUCCCCACACCUACGGGUGGCUGCAGUCAAGAAUCUUCCGCAAUGGACGAAAGUCUGACGGAGCGACGCCGCGUGUCGGAUGAAGCCCUUCGGGGUGUAAACGACUUUUCCCAGGGACGAACUCUGACGGUACCUGGGGAAUAAGGGGCCGCCAAUCUCGUGCCAGCAGCGGCGGUAAUACGAGAGCCCCGAGCGUUACCCGGAUUCACUGGGUGUAAAGCGUCCGAAGGCGGUCCAACGCAUCUCUGGUUAAAUCCUGGGGCUCAACUCCAGGCAUGCCAGGGACAUGGUUGGACUCGAGGCUGGGAGAGGCGAGUGGAACUGCCGGUGUAGUAGUAAAAUGCGUUCAUAUCGGCAGGAACACCAAAGGCGAAGGCAGCUCGCUGGAACAGUUCUGACGCUCAAGGACGAAAGCGUGGGUAGCGAAUGGGAUUAGAUACCCCAGUAGUCCACGCCCUAAACGAUGAGUGCUAGGUGUUGGGAGUAUCGACCCUCCCAGCGCCCAUAUUGAAGCUAACGCGUUAAGCACUCCACCUGGGAAGUACGGCCGCAAGGCUAAAACUCAAAGGAAUAGACGGGGACCCGCACAAGCGGUGGACCAUGUGGUUUAAUUCGACACUAAGCGAGGAACCUCACCUAGGUUUGACAUGCUCCUGCAAGCGCACGGAAACGUGUGACCUUCGAGGGUGGAGCACAGGUGCUGCAUGGCUGUCGUCAGCUCGUGCCGUGAGGUGUUCCGUUCAGUCGGGAAACGAGCGCAACCCUCGUCCUAUGUUUCAAUGACCAUAGGAGACUGCCCCGGCAACGGGGAGGAAGGCGAGGAUGACGUCAAGUCAGCAUGGCCCUUAUGCCUAGGGCGACACACGUGGUACAAUGGCCAGGACAGCGGGAUGCGAAGCCGCGAGGUGGAGCAAAUCCCCAACCCUGGUCUCAGUCCGGAUCGGAGGCUGCAACUCGCCUCCGUGAAGCUGGAAUCGCUAGUAAACGCGUAUCAGCCACGGCGCGUUGAAUACGUUCUCGGGUCUUGUACUCACCGCCCGUCAAGUCAAGCGAGUCGGGAAUUCCUGAAGGCUUCGGAUUCGGGGCCCAAGGAAGGCCUGAUGAGAGGGACUAAGUCGUAACAAGGCAGGGGUAGCGGAAGCUGCUCCUGGAUCACCUCCUUUCUACGGAG